AUUGAACGCUGGCGGCAGGCCUAACACAUGCCAGUCCAGCGGAUGAAGGGAGCUUGCUCCUGGAUUCAGCGGCGGACGGGUGAGUAAUGCCUAGGAAUCUGCCUGGUAGUGGGGGAUAACGUCCGGAAACGGGCGCUAAUACCGCAUACGUCCUGAGGGAGAAAGUGGGGGAUCUUCGGACCUCACGCUAUCAGAUGAGCCUAGGUCGGAUUAGCUAGUUGGUGGGGUAAAGGCCUACCAAGGCGACGAUCCGUAACUGGUCUGAGAGGAUGAUCAGUCACACUGGAACUGAGACACGGUCCAGACUCCUACGGGAGGCAGCAGUGGGGAAUAUUGGACAAUGGGCGAAAGCCUGAUCCAGCCAUGCCGCGUGUGUGAAGAAGGUCUUCGGAUUGUAAAGCACUUUAAGUUGGGAGGAAGGGCAGUAAGUUAAUACCUUGCUGUUUUGACGUUACCAACAGAAUAAGCACCGGCUAACUUCGUG
This 484-nucleotide ribosomal RNA is filed under the name uncultured bacterium. Its description in RNAcentral is "partial 16S ribosomal RNA". It matches the Rfam family "Bacterial small subunit ribosomal RNA", at positions 30 to 507 of the family's 1533-position model. The record is from RNAcentral.